Molecule: ribosomal RNA, 164 nt
Filed under: uncultured bacterium
Lineage: Bacteria
Description: partial 16S rRNA
Rfam family: Bacterial small subunit ribosomal RNA
Source: RNAcentral
UAGGGAAUCUUCCACAAUGGACGCAAGUCUGAUGGGGCAACGCCGCGUGAGUGAAGAAGGGUUUCGGCUCGUAAAGCUCUGUUGUUAAAGAAGAACGUGGGUAAGAGUAACUGUUUACCCAGUGACGGUAUUUAACCAGAAAGCCACGGCUAACUACGUGCCGG